UACGUAGGUGGCAAGCGUUGUCCGGAUUUACUGGGCGUAAAGAGCGCGCAGGCGGUCGUUCAAGUCGCGUGUGAAAGCCCCCGGCUCAACUGGGGAGGGUCACGCGAUACUGAUCGACUCGAAGGCAGGAGAGGGUAGUGGAAUUCCCGGUGUAGUGGUGAAAUGCGUAGAUAUCGGGAGGAACACCAGUGGCGAAGGCGGCCUGCUGGGCUGUUGCUGACGCUGAGGCGCGACAGCGUGGGGAGCAAACAGG
RNAcentral lists this ribosomal RNA (253 nucleotides) under uncultured bacterium. RNAcentral's name for it is "partial 16S ribosomal RNA". It matches the Rfam family "Bacterial small subunit ribosomal RNA", at positions 524 to 776 of the family's 1533-position model. The record is from RNAcentral.